This 309-nucleotide ribosomal RNA is filed under the name uncultured Anaeroplasmataceae bacterium. RNAcentral describes it as "partial 16S ribosomal RNA". Lineage: Bacteria; Bacillati; Mycoplasmatota; Mollicutes; Anaeroplasmatales; Anaeroplasmataceae. The record is from RNAcentral.
GGAGUAUGGACCGUGUCUCAGUUCCAUUGUGGCCGUUCACCCUCUCAGGUCGGCUACACAUCCUCGCCUUGGUGGGCCGUUGCCCCGCCAACUAGCUAAUGCGCCGCAGGUCCAUCCGAAAGCGUCGCAAACGCGACUUUCGUGCGGAGGGGAUGUCCCCUCCGCCGCUAUCCGGUAUUAGCCAAGGUUUCCCCUGGGUAUCCCAGACUUAGGGGCAGGUUACCUACGUGUUACUCACCCGUUCGCCACUCGGCGCAUUGCUGCGCCUCGUUCGACUUGCAUGUAUUAGGCACGCCGCCAGCGUUCAUC